AGCGUUUAAGUCUCCACUUCAAACCCCCCCGCCCCGCCCGCCCCUCCUCUCUCUCUGGUUAAGGUUAUCGGCCAGCAGAUUUCAAGAAAUGUCAUUUCAGAAAAAUGUCAGAUUUCGCUUAUUUGAAUAUCGGUUGCUUGAGAAUUAUUAGCUUUCUAACCAGACCCACAUGGACCCCAAGGGCAUAAGACAUUGUAGCCCCAUUAUAUGGAUUAGGCAAGUAAAGUUGAUUGGUUGGGGUCUUGGUGAAAAGCUUUCUAUACUUCGUAGAUGGGUGCAAUUGGCAGUUUCAAUCCAGCUGAUGAGUUGGGACUCCAGUAACUACCACUUUGAAGACUUGGGGAACUUGUAUCCCGGUAUCCAAAGGGCAUCAAAGGUAUGAUGAGCUUUACGAAGACUGGAGAUGAAGCUGUAAACCCCGUGUGUGAUGCAUGGGAAACACAAGCUUAUUGCAGGCUUGUAAAUUGUUUGCGUGGGCAUAAGCUGCCAUGUCACGAGGAAGCACGCAGUCUCCGCAUUCCUCACUCAGCCUCCCAACCUCUUGGCAGCUGUUAAUAUAAAACCGAGCACACCAGUCUUCUAGACGCUCUGGUUUCCAUCAUCAUCAAGGUUUGAGGAAUCUUUACUGAAAAUAUAUUUUUAUUUUAAAAGCAACUUGAUGGGUUUUGGCCCCCUCUCCAUGUUCUUUAUUAUCCAUUCACUAAAAUAAAAAAAAUUGAAAAAAGAAAGACCAGGAGUUUGGAUUUGGAGCCAACCAGCUGAUGGCUGGUUUGUUGGUUCAUCAAACCCAGAAAAGGAUAUCAGCUUAGAUUCCAUCAUUUCCAUUAUUUGAUUGUUUGUUUUUAUUAAAUUCCUUGAGCGGAUAAUAUUCUUGGUAA
Long non-coding RNA from Vitis vinifera (wine grape), 878 nucleotides. RefSeq lists it as uncharacterized. The transcript is spliced from 4 exons. NCBI's taxonomy places the organism in Eukaryota, Viridiplantae, Streptophyta, Magnoliopsida, Vitales, Vitaceae. The record is from RefSeq and is a predicted model, not a curated record.